ACCUUAAGCCUAAAAACAAAUAUCAGAGAACUCUGUGCAGUUCGUAGGUUUCCUUCUGUGAGUCCUUUGGUUUUAUUUUCCUUUCAUAAUUGUGUUUUGAGUAUAUAAGACUGAGACUGUGCUUGUGUGUGUGUGUGCACAUCAGAUUAAAAAUGUGUUUGUGAGUGUAUGUCUAGGUUCUCCUUUGGACUUUUAUGUUAGAGGGUCUCACGAAUUCCG
Molecule: small RNA, 219 nt
Filed under: Bos taurus (domestic cattle)
Lineage: Eukaryota; Metazoa; Chordata; Mammalia; Artiodactyla; Bovidae
Source: RNAcentral